Molecule: ribosomal RNA, 515 nt
Filed under: Anopheles sp. 6 BSL-2014
Lineage: Eukaryota; Metazoa; Arthropoda; Insecta; Diptera; Culicidae
Description: eukaryotic LSU rRNA
Source: RNAcentral
CKUUUGUGAACUGCAGGACACAUGAACACCGACACGUUGAACGCAUAUGGCGCAUCGGACGUUUAAACCCGACCGAUGCACACAUCUUUGAGUGCCUACCCAAUCCUUCUUACACAAACCCUGACUACAUGGCGGGCAUGCGCAGCGAACCAACACUCCGGCGAACAACGCGCCGAGUGUCGCUGACCAACGCGUGUUCCGCACUGUGCAUCAUGGCGUGCUUGGUACCCUGCAUGGGGGACCUAGGGCGCUGAAAUGGUAAGGCGAUACUGUUACCUUGAGUCGGGUCAAGUCGCACGGUUCGAACUUUGGCUCUAAGACAACCUGGGAGCACCGGAAGCCUACUAACACCAGGCUUGCCGUCUGUUGCCAGGACCCGCCGUCUAGCCGAGUCGUGUAACGCGUACGACCCAUACCUGAUACCAGCGAGUGUGCAGUGUGUGCUACUAUUUACCAUUUCACCCAACGUAGGCCUCAAGUGAUGUGUGAGAACCCCCUGAAUUUAAGCAUAAMAA